This 440-nucleotide unclassified non-coding RNA is filed under the name plant metagenome. RNAcentral's name for it is "partial contains 5.8S ribosomal RNA, internal transcribed spacer 2, and large subunit ribosomal RNA". The record is from RNAcentral.
CUUGUCGAGUCCGUGCUUCGCGUUGAAGUUCGCGAUCUGCUCGGCAGUUGCGGUCUCGCCGAGGAUGGUCGUCGCGGGCGAACCGGGCACGAGCUCGAUCAGCAGCGUCACGAGCGACACCACCGUCCAGAUCACCAACAGCGUGAGGGCGAGCUGCCUCGCGAAAUUCAGGAGCUUGUACUUCAUCAGAAGCCUGACCGUAAGGGAGGGCGAGCCUCGGGCCGAUACUUUAGGUGAUUGUCCCUAUCCAACAAAUUCAUCGAAAUUCGGAAAUUCGUCGCCCUGGCCGUAGAGCGUGUACUCGAUGGCCUUCGCUACUGAACUCUCUUUCCACAGAUAGCGGGUGCUCGCAUGCCGCGACCAGACCUUCACAUCAGAAUCUAUAAGUUUAGCGUUACGAAGAUUCCUAGUCGAAUAGCUUUUGAACGCCUCAAUGAUCU